Molecule: long non-coding RNA, 389 nt
Filed under: Vulpes vulpes (red fox)
Lineage: Eukaryota; Metazoa; Chordata; Mammalia; Carnivora; Canidae
Description: lncRNA (ENSVVUG00000013182.1)
Source: RNAcentral
AAAGUGAUGACACAACCAGAGAGUUAACAAGAUGGAAAAUCUAAAUCUAAUUAUCAGCUUCUGUUUUUAUGUGAACCAUCCCCCUCUCUCCUUACUUUUUCUUACUCCAUCUUUCUGUUCUUUUAAGAUUGGGCCCAAUUUCCUGCCCCAAAGGAGAUGUCUCCCAGAAGGAAGUAGAAGGCUCAAGCCAGGAGAAGACACAGGACUGAUUCAAGGCUGUGGGCAACUUUUGUUUUCUGAAAGACCUAGGAUUCUUUGAACGUGGGAAGGACUACUUCAAGUUUUCUUUGAAGGUAAGCUCCCUCAUAACACUUAUUUGGGAAAACAAAAACAAAAACAAAAACAAAACACUUAUUUGGUGUUUUAUAGAAACAAAACUAGUAAGACCA